AAUCCUGAGGAGCGUUGCGACGACCCUGCGGUUCCCGUCAUGGACCAUGCCCUGGCCCAUGACCCGCGGAACCCGGUUCGCCAGGCUCAGGAAUCCUUGUUCAAGCGUCGCGUCAUGCGCGGCGCUACAGCAACGGCGCUCACCUUUG
This 148-nucleotide non-coding RNA is filed under the name Achromobacter insuavis. RNAcentral describes it as "SAH sequence". It matches the Rfam family "SAH (S-adenosyl-L-homocysteine) riboswitch aptamer". The record is from RNAcentral. Lineage: Bacteria; Pseudomonadati; Pseudomonadota; Betaproteobacteria; Burkholderiales; Alcaligenaceae.